Molecule: ribosomal RNA, 274 nt
Filed under: uncultured bacterium
Lineage: Bacteria
Description: partial 16S ribosomal RNA
Rfam family: Bacterial small subunit ribosomal RNA
Source: RNAcentral
AUACGGAGGGUGCAAGCGUUGUUCGGAAUCACUGGGCGUAAAGGGCGCGCAGGCGGUUUGGUAAGUCAGAUGUGAAAGCCCACGGCUCAACCGUGGAAGUGCAUUUGAAACUGUCAGACUUGAGUACUAGAGGGGAAAGUGGAAUUCCCGGUGUAGAGGUGAAAUUCGUAGAAAUCGGGAGGAAUACCGGUGGCGAAGGCGACUUUCUGGCUAGAUACUGACGCUGAGGCGCGAAAGCGUGGGGAGCAAACAGGAUUAGAUACCCUAGUAGUCC